GGUUGAGGCAUGUCCUGAUACAUCGUGGUACCGUGCGGAGGGGUAAAUGUGAUGGGAAAGUAUCUGGCAGGGUACGCACCUAGUAGGUGUUAGUGAUAUAGAUGUCCCAAACUCAAAUCAUGAUGGUUCGAUUGACUAUAUUUCAACUUUAUGAUGAAUGCAGAAACUGAGCCCAGGGAACUUAAGCUCCUCACUUAAGAUCAUGCUAUGGAUUGAAAUGUGUCCUUCCAAAAUUCGUGUUGGAUUCGUGUUGAAGCCCUAACAUGCAACAUGACUGCAUUUGGAAAUACGGCCUCUAAGGAAUCAAGGCUAAAUGAAAUCAGAAGGGUGGAACUUGAUCUGAUGGAAUUAGUGUCAUUAUAAAAAGAGACACCAAAGAGCUCUCUCUCUCUGUCUCAACUGUGUGAGGACACAGCAAGAAGGCAGCUGUUGGCUAGCCAGGAAGAGUGGUCUCACCAGAAAUGCACCAGCCAGAACCUUGGACUUCCAGCCUCUAGAACUAUGAGAAAACAAAUGACUGUUAUUUAAGCCACCUAGUCUAUGGUAUUUUGGUUACCGCAGCCCAAGCUGACUAAUAAAGAUCAUCUUCUGCCUAUGCAAUGUGAAGAUGACAAAGAAGAAGACCUUUACAAUGAUCCACGUCUACUUAAUGAAUAACUUAGGUAUUCAUCUCAUCAAAGCAAGAAGACCACCUCAGCUCUAGACACCACAGUCUCCCCCUAACUUCAGCUGCACGGAGCAGGGAUAGACAUAAAAGACCUUUCCUUCCCAGAUGUUGUUGAAAAAAAAAAAAAGAAAGAAAGAAAGAAAAGAAAAAAUAGAAACUUUUUUUUUUCCUUCUGGGAGAAAAAGCUUUUGAGAAGGCCUCAGACAGAGUAAUCGACUUCUCUUCAUGCCUCACUUGUCAGAACCGGAUCUCACCACUCCCAUUCGCAAACCAGUCCCUGCAAAAGGUAGUAGGAUUGCUGUAAUUGGCUUAGGUCAGGAGUCAACAAACUUUUUCUGGAAAGAUCCUGAUAGCAAAUAUUUUAGGCUUUGUGGGCCACAUGGUCUCUGUUUCACACUACAAUUCUGCCAUUGUAGUGUGAAAGCAGUCAAAGGCAAAGUUUAAAUGGAUGUGGCUGUGAUUCAAUAAAACUUUAUUUGAAAAAAUACAGGUAGUGACAUAACAAUUAAACUCUAAGAGUCUGGAUAGAAGCCAGGCAAAGAAAGCUGUGGAAAGAACAUUGAACUUGGAGUCAGCCCCACUCACCUGGUCUGAACUCUUGGCUUUGCCUUGUGUCCUUAAGUAACCUACUUCUCUCUGAGCCUCAGAUUCUUCAGCUGCAAAAUGGGGAUAAUAAUAUUUACCUACUAAGGUUCUUGUGGGGGAAGUAGGCAAUGGAAGUGAGUGUAAGGAGGGAAGAGUAGAAGGAGUCCAACAAUAAUCUGAGUUUUCUGAGCUCAAGAAUGUCAGUACAGGCAGGGCACGGUGGCUCACGCCUGUAAUCCCAACCAAGGCGGGCAGAUCACCUGAGGUCAAGAGUUCGAGACCAGCCUGGCCAACAUGGUGAAACUCUGUCUCUACUAAAAAUACAAAAAUCAGCCAGGCGUGGUGGCACACGCCUGUAAUCCCAGCUAUUCAGGAGGCUGAGGUAGGAGAAUUGCUUGAGCCCGGGAGGCGGAGGUUGCAGUGAGCCGAGAUCGUGCCACUGCACUCCAGCCUGGCUGACAGAGUGAGAGUCUGUCUCAAAAAAAAAAAAAAA
Molecule: long non-coding RNA, 1745 nt
Organism: Pongo pygmaeus (Bornean orangutan)
Lineage: Eukaryota; Metazoa; Chordata; Mammalia; Primates; Hominidae
Exons: 4
Source: RefSeq, a predicted model, not a curated record